CGUGUGGGAGCCGGACGGGAAGCAGUCGCAGGGGUAGCACGUGUCACUGCUCUGGGGCCGGUAGUAAUUGGCCUGGAGAAACCAAAAUCACAGACACAGUGGCAUUCUCCAUUGGUCUUAUUGCAAUCAGAAUCAAACCCUUUACUAGUCUCACAAUUACAUGGGCCACAGAUGGGGUUUCCCCACCAACCUCUGGGACAAGAGACACUGGCCCACAAAUAUCAUCAAAGAACCAAGCAGCCUGCUGCCUUCAAAGUAUUAGAAAAACCCCACAAAUUGAGGCAUCAGCAAGAACAUGUUUUUUCAGUGACAAAGGGGACAUUCAGGAAUGCACAGUGCUGGAGGCAGAGGUGACAGCUGGGAACGGGGGGAGGCAGUGCUGCUGUGACUGCCAUCAUCUCUACCACCUGACUUUAAAAUGAGUUUCCAGAGAU
Ficedula albicollis (Collared flycatcher) is the source of this 434-nucleotide long non-coding RNA. RefSeq lists it as uncharacterized. NCBI's taxonomy places the organism in Eukaryota, Metazoa, Chordata, Aves, Passeriformes, Muscicapidae. The record is from RefSeq and is a predicted model, not a curated record. The transcript has 3 exons.